This 253-nucleotide ribosomal RNA is filed under the name uncultured bacterium. RNAcentral describes it as "partial 16S ribosomal RNA". It matches the Rfam family "Bacterial small subunit ribosomal RNA", at positions 524 to 776 of the family's 1533-position model. The record is from RNAcentral.
UACGGGGGGGGCAAGCGUUGUUCGGAAUUACUGGGCGUAAAGAGCGCGCAGGCGGCUUGGUAAGUCGGAUGUGAAAUCCCGAGGCUCAACCUCGGGUCUGCAUCCGAUACUGCCCGGCUAGAGGUAGGUAGGGGAGAUCGGAAUUCCUGGUGUAGCGGUGAAAUGCGCAGAUAUCAGGAGGAACACCGGUGGCGAAGGCGGAUCUCUGGGCCUUACCUGACGCUCAGGCGCGAAAGCUAGGGGAGCGAACUGG